Molecule: ribosomal RNA, 458 nt
Filed under: uncultured bacterium
Lineage: Bacteria
Description: bacterial SSU rRNA
Rfam family: Bacterial small subunit ribosomal RNA
Source: RNAcentral
UACGGAAGGCAGCAGUGGGGAAUAUUGCACAAUGGGCGCAAGCCUGAUGCAGCCAUGCCGCGUGUAUGAAGAAGGCCUUCGGGUUGUAAAGUACUUUCAGCGGGGAGGAAGGCGAUGCGGUUAAUAACCGCGUCGAUUGACGUUACCCGCAGAAGAAGCACCGGCUAACUCCGUGCCAGCAGCCGCGGUAAUACGGAGGGUGCAAGCGUUAAUCGGAAUUACUGGGCGUAAAGCGCACGCAGGCGGUCUGUUAAGUCAGAUGUGAAAUCCCCGGGCUUAACCUGGGAACUGCAUUUUGAACUGGCAGGCUUGAGUCUUGUAGAGGGGGUAGAAUUCCAGGUGUAGCGGUGAAAUGCGUAGAGAUCUGGAGGAAUACCGGUGGCGAAGGCGGCCCCUGGGACAAAGCUGACGCUCAGGUGCGAAAGCGUGGGGAGCAAACGAGGAUUAGGAUACCCGGU